RNAcentral lists this transfer RNA (72 nucleotides) under Candidatus Physcosoma equi. Its description in RNAcentral is "tRNA-Val". It matches the Rfam family "tRNA". From Rfam's summary of the family: Transfer RNA (tRNA) molecules are approximately 80 nucleotides in length. Their secondary structure includes four short double-helical elements and three loops (D, anti-codon, and T loops). Lineage: Bacteria; Pseudomonadati; Spirochaetota; Spirochaetia; Spirochaetales; Sphaerochaetaceae. The record is from RNAcentral.
GACGGUAUAGCUCAGCGGGAGAGCACUUCCUUCACACGGAAGGGGUCGGCAGUUCGAUCCUGCCUACCGUCA